Molecule: long non-coding RNA, 967 nt
Filed under: Mus musculus (house mouse)
Lineage: Eukaryota; Metazoa; Chordata; Mammalia; Rodentia; Muridae
Description: long non-coding RNA chr7:103460222-103461189
Source: RNAcentral
UUACCUGUUCUUUGCUGUUUCAUUAGACUUGAAUAAUGUUUGAGAACAGGUUCCUACUACUCGCAUCCUUAUCUCUUUGGUCUUUAUUCCAUAAACAAUGGGGUUCAUGGUUGGGGGUAUCAGUAGAUAGAGAUUUGCCAGGAGGAUGAGAGUGUGCCUGGACACAUGGUGCCCAAAGCGAUGGGUAAAGAAAGAGAAAAAGGCCAGUGUGUAGAAUAUUAAAAUGACGCAAAUGUGAGCUCCGCAGGUGCCAAAGGCUUUUGUCCGUGCUUCUUUUGAUGGCAGUUGUAGAACAGUUUUCAAGAUUAGCCAGUAGGACAAGGAGAUAAAGACAAAGUCCAGCCCUGUCGUGAGAAGAGCAGCUGAGAGACCAUAAAUGCUAUUUAAGGUAAAGCUGUUGCAAGCCAACUUGGCAAUGCCCAUGUUCUCACAGUAUGUGUGAUGGAUAAUGUUGCUUCGGCAAAAGUCCAAGCGGAGAAUAAGUAGAACACCUGGAGUAACAACAGCCACACUUCGAGCUAUCAGCACCAGCCCAACCUUGCCAAUGAUAGAGCUUGUAAGCAGGGAUGUAUAAUGCAGUGGAAUGCAGAUAGCCACAUAGCGAUCAAAAGCCAUAGCCAGUAAGACAGCAGAUUCAGAGAGGAACAGAGCAUGGACAAAAAACAUCUGUGUCAGGCAUGCAGGGAAUGUGGCUUCCAAGGGGCCCUGCCAGAAAAUGAGCAGCAUUUGGGGUACCGUGACAGUACAGAGGAGGACAUCAUUGAAUGCCAACAUGGCCAGGAAGAGAUACAUGGGUUCAUGGAGGCUCCUGUCAUAGACCACUACUGCCAUGACCAGCACAUUUCCUAACACAGCCAAAACGUACAUGAAGCUGAAAGGUAUGGACAUCCAAAUCUGAAUAUCUUCUAAUCCUGGCACACCAGUAAGCAGAAAGAAAGUGAGCUGAGUAGGUGUAGUGUUGAGUUCU